Long non-coding RNA from Aedes albopictus (Asian tiger mosquito), 1866 nucleotides. RefSeq lists it as uncharacterized. The transcript has 2 exons. NCBI's taxonomy places the organism in Eukaryota, Metazoa, Arthropoda, Insecta, Diptera, Culicidae. The record is from RefSeq and is a predicted model, not a curated record.
UGGUCGCCUGUACCGUCCGGUCCGCGGAAAAUGAGUUUCGUUUUGGUUGAAGGUUGAAGUAUCAACAGGUUGUUGUUUUUUUUUUGAUGAGAAAUAGUAAGUUUGACGUUUCGUGUUUCGCGAUUCAAAAGUGCAAUAAGAGUAAACAAAUCCCGUUUUUUUCGAUUUCGGAUUCAUAAGUAUGUUUUGUUUACAUUUUUGAUUGUUAUUUCAAGUCAAAAUGAAGUUUGUUUGCAACCGAAAUUAUGCCACACGGAGAUGGUGUUUGUCCGCGUUGGAACAAGAGAGAGAAAAAGAAAAGAAACAAACCGCAUGGGUAAUGAAAAUGUUGCUCAAAUUUCGCGUUGUCUGGUUUUAGCGUGUAACAAAUAUUGUCAUUAUUGAGUUUGUAUGAGAAUCAAGUUAGAUAGUAUAAUAGUGGCAAACAUAAUCAAGUCAAUCAAUUCCAGCGAGCGAUUGUGUGGUAGUAUAUUAGUAGUAGUAGCAAAAAACAUCAUUCCUAUGUAAAAAGAAAAAAAAAAUCAAAGAAACACAGUAGGCGACAUUCCCAAAACAAGAAAAAGGAAAACAAACGAGAGUUAACCGAAACAAACAGGAAACAGUCUUGUUCAACGUGUAUUAAAAAAAAAUGCAACAAUUCAGCUUGGCAGUGCUGCCAGCAGCGCCUCAACAGCAGCCACAAGCGCGCCUCAUCGAACGACGCUGGAUCUAUUAUCUGGACUUGAUUACGCGAGAACUAACGAGAAACGCAAAAAGCCCUUUUAUGACACAGCGCUUGUGGACAUCCAAGUAGGCCCGCGCGCGCGCGCGUUGGAAUUCUCUUGCGCGCUCUAUGGUUUUUGCCAAUGCAAUGGUAGCUGAAAGGUAACUAUGCGUCGUACAACGCGAAUACGAACUAAUCUAAUACAGAAGCUCCGGUUAUAGCGGAGGUAAAACGGGGCGAUUAUUGUUUUUUUUUUAUUAAAUAGGAUAUACAAUUGAAACAAACUGCUUUUCCUCUAAAUAAACUCGAGUACUAGUUUAUACAGUUUUAAGAUAAGAUAUAAUUUAGUAAAAUAGUAGUGUAAAGAGAAAUUGUAUAAAAGUCAAAAUGUCCGAGACGAUAUAGAAUACAAAUGGAUGAAUAACGAGAGAAUAACGAGAGUGAGAGAGAGAAAGGGGAGAGUGUGAGAAAACAGUAGUAAGAUCGAAGUGGGCGUGUUUGGGUGUUUGUGAGAGUGGUUCUGGUGGGUGUGCUCAUUCCAUAGUUUGACAUAUCACUUGCAAGUCUGUGUGGGUGUGUUUGUGUGUAUUUGUUUGGGUUUGCAUGUGCGCUCCUGCAAUCAAGACAUCUGGAUGUCGGUGUGAACUUUUGUUGAAUUUUUGGAUUGGACUUGUGGAGACAACAGUUACACAACCAUAACGGAUGCAAUACGAGUUCUUUUGUUUCUGGUGUGUUCGAUUUUCUUUUGAUUAUGCUCCCUCUCUCGAGAGAAAACGAGAGGCAGACAGUGAGAGUGAGAUGGGUUUCGAUCGUGAACCAACAGGAGGACCUCUAAACUAAGCUUGAACAACUCUCAUUUUAGCAAAAUUCGUGUUUUUGGUGAUUGGUUAGACCUUGUUCCGAGAAACUAGUUUACACACGAUUAAGAAGCGUUUUUCAAACCGAUGGCGCAGUGCAGAAACCGAAGAAAAAGCUAAAAUUUUCCAUUGUUUUUCAUUGUGCUUUCAUGAACUGUAUACUAAGUUUGAUAGAACUGUGCAGGUUUUUGUUUUGGCUGAACAGCGGAACACUGUAGUUUUGUAGACUGUAUGCGCUAGUUGGUAGUUUUCUAGUGUCCUAUCACGAUCUUUCCAGAAGUUCGGGAUCACUUAUCUAGUUUUAGU